Long non-coding RNA from Lotus japonicus, 1660 nucleotides. RefSeq lists it as uncharacterized. NCBI's taxonomy places the organism in Eukaryota, Viridiplantae, Streptophyta, Magnoliopsida, Fabales, Fabaceae. The transcript has 4 exons. The record is from RefSeq and is a predicted model, not a curated record.
UAAAACAGGAAAGAAGUUUGGAAAGACUAGAAUUGACAAUUAAGUUCCUCUAUCAGAAAUCACAAAAUAUCUGCAUAUGCAUACAGAACCGAUGCGAAGGGAAGGCAAGGCAAGGCGAGGCGAGGUUUGAAGGAGUAGGAAUAUGAUUUAGAAUUACAAGCCAAGAUGGAGACUGAGUGAGUAUGGCAAUUUUAGGAUUUAGAAUUAGGGCUUCCAGAUUUAGGGAAAAUCAUAUUCAUGGUUGCUUGGGAAAAUCAAGCUUGAGAAGAGAAAGGAGAAUUGGACUGGUGGUGGCGUGGCAUGGUGGUGGCCGGUGGUGGUGCCGCCGUGCCUUGAUGAGGGUACGAGAGGGUGAGGGCGUCUGAGCGUGAAUGUGGUUCGUGAGAGGCAGACAGGGUGAGAGCGUGCGUGAGUAUCAGAGUAUGUGAGUGUGUGAGAGAGAGGAGUAAGUGGGGUUUGGGUGCAAAUAUAAAAUCUCAGGGGGUUCAAAAAAUAAUAUUACAAGGGGGUAAGUAAAAUUUUCUUUUUUUCCAGGGGGUUCACACUACCACAAAAAGGGCAUUGGGCAGCGGCUAUGGAGUAGCGGUUCACUGUUUACCGCUACCCAAGCUUUUUAUAGAAAAAAAAAAUAUGGAAAGCAACUAUUGUAACAUUAAAAAAGAAAAGAAAAAAUCAAUCUUAUAGUGAAACCGCUACCCAAGUAAAAUUUCUCGGUGCUAGGUAGCGCUUACAUUAACCGCUACCCAAAUUGAACCUUUUUUUCCCUAAUUUAUCAAAACCCUACCUGGGAAAUCCUUUUCCCUUUCCCUCUGUCGUGAACGCAAUAACCCUUGCUCCCUGCCGUAACCGUCUCCGCAUCUGAACCACAAGCCUUGACUGACUACUGCUCCCCUUCUGGCAGUGCUUGGUGCUCGACAUGGGCGCAAGUUCUGCAGGUGACAUCUCCCUUUUCUUUCAUCUUACCUUCUUUUUUUACUGGGGCUCGACGCUGUUUCUGUUACUCACCAAUCUUCCUACUUUCACGAUCCUGAUCUCAACCCUUCCUCGUUGCCAUCACCGUCUCUGCAUCUAGAGAGUCGUAGUUCCGCGCCGCAUCUCAGGGAGCCCUAGUUCUACGUUGUCUCUCUCUCUUCGCCGAGACUUGGUUCCGUUCUGCUGCUUCAUCACCGGCUCACAACACUUCAAUUCUCUUCUGCACCAUGAUUCCCCAUAGCCAAAUCAGCUUCACCGAUUACAGAAUGAUCCCUGGUGUGAAGAGUUAAUUAUAUUGAUGCUGAAAAAAAAGACACUGAUGAAGAGUUGAUGAAUUGCAAGACCAAGUUUAAAGAAAGGAUUGCAAUGUUGCAAUGUUACAAAAUAAGCAAGUUGGAAAGAGAGAUGAAUGACACCCAAAGUUCUUUCCUUAAGAAGAUGAUUCCAUCUGGGAGAUUAGCAAGCUACAAAUAGAAGCAAAGGGUCACACGUCUUUGAAGAAUAAACGUGAUUCCUCCAUUCAAAAUCUUUUAGCUAGGUAUAACUUAGGGAUGAAUUUGUUCUUUUUGUAAACAAAACAAGUGUAUUUGGAUAUCAGAUUGAAUUUGUUGUUUUGGUGCACAAUUUUUAAUUUUUCGGUUUCAGCACAAUUAUAUGGAUAUUGAGUUGUUCUUUAUUUAGUUUUCAA